AUUGAACGCUGGCGGAAUGCUUUACACAUGCAAGUCGAGCGGCAGCGCGGCCUUCGGGCUGGCGGCGAGCGGCGAACGGGUGAGUAAUGCAUCGGAACAUGCCCAGUCGUGGGGGAUAACACUUCGAAAGAAGUGCUAAUACCGCAUACGUCCUGAGGGGGAAAGCGGGGGAUCGCAAGACCUCGCGCGAUUGGAGUGGCCGAUGUCAGAUUAGCUAGUUGGUGGGGUAAAGGCCUACCAAGGCGACGAUCUGUAGCUGGUCUGAGAGCAUGAUCAGCCACACUGGGACUGAGACACGGCCCAGACUCCUACGGGAGGCAGCAGUGGGGAAUUUUGGACAAUGGGGGCAACCCUGAACCAGCCAUUCAGCGUGAGUGAAGAAGGCCUUCGGGUUGUAAAGCUCUUUCGGCAGGAACGAAACGGUGGGCUCUAACAUAGUCCGCUAAUGACGGUACCUGAAGAAGAAGCACCGGCUAACUACGUG
RNAcentral lists this ribosomal RNA (484 nucleotides) under uncultured bacterium. Its description in RNAcentral is "partial 16S ribosomal RNA". It matches the Rfam family "Bacterial small subunit ribosomal RNA", at positions 29 to 507 of the family's 1533-position model. The record is from RNAcentral.